This 247-nucleotide ribosomal RNA is filed under the name Pouzarella sp. 2 CRJH-2017. RNAcentral's name for it is "partial 28S ribosomal RNA". It matches the Rfam family "Eukaryotic large subunit ribosomal RNA", at positions 104 to 344 of the family's 3401-position model. Lineage: Eukaryota; Fungi; Basidiomycota; Agaricomycetes; Agaricales; Entolomataceae. The record is from RNAcentral.
AGAGCUCAAAUUUGAAAUCUGGCAGUUUCUAACUGUCUGAAUUGUAAUCUAGAGAAGUGUUAUCCGUGCUGGACUGUGUACAAGUCUUCUGGAACGAAGCGUCGCAGAGGGUGAUAAUCCCGUACCUGACACAGACUACCAGUGCUUUGUGAUACGCUCUCAAAGAGUCGAGUUGUUUGGGAAUGCAGCUCUAAAUGGGUGGUAAAUUCCAUCUAAAGCUAAAUAUUGGCGAGAGACCGAUAGCGAA